CAGUUAGGGGAAUGAUGUACAAUUCUCGAGCACUUCAGAAGCUAAACUUGUUUGAUGCGGCAUCUAAGGAGAACAUUGAUA
Small nucleolar RNA from Lactuca sativa (garden lettuce), 81 nucleotides. RefSeq annotates it as small nucleolar RNA J33. The record is from RefSeq and is a predicted model, not a curated record. NCBI's taxonomy places the organism in Eukaryota, Viridiplantae, Streptophyta, Magnoliopsida, Asterales, Asteraceae.